UGUUGUAGGACGGUAAUUUAAGGUAGCACCGACACAGAUGUAGUAGUAUUAAGAAUUGCAGCACUCCAAAAAUAUGGUGGAACAAACUGUGAAUAGGUUUUGGCAGGAAUGAAGACUUUUGAUGGCUUCCUGUACGUGAUAUAUCAAAUGCGUUUGGUCCUCGUGUAGCUACUCUUCCUUUCAUUCAUACAUUCAGUGCAUGUGACACUAAGGGAAUAGGUCAGUUUGGAUGACAUAGGGAAGUAUUUCAACAUGUAAGGGACGUACUUAUUUCUUUGCUGAAGUAUAAAGACACAUACAAGGACAUAAAAGAAGCAUUUGUUUGCAUCAUGUAUGACAGAACAACAUCACUAUUUGCUGUUAACGAGGCACGAUGUAAAUUUUUACCCAGGAAGCAGCGGCAUUGUGAUGUAGUUCCGCCUACAAGAGUUUUUUUUUCGGAGCACAUCCAAAGAGCAGCGUAUCAAGGAGGAUAAGUUUGGGCUCAGCCUGAUUUAUGUACCAAUUCAUGAACACUGGGGUUGGAUGAAAGAAAAAAAAUCGAGGACUUCUUCGGCUACCGUUAAAGUUGCAUCCUCCUGUCGGGAACUUUUGAAAUGAGGAGGCGAAAAAUCCAGUUGUGUUGGUGACUGUAAAUGCUACCGUUCUGUCCUUCCUUGUACGAGUUUUGUUAUUGGCUACUGUCCGAUAAUUUUAAGAUAACGAACCUGUCUUUCUAACAAAACUAGGCAUUUAAUCUUAACAAAGAAUGUGAUAUCACUUGUUAAGUUGAUGAAAAUUAUAAAAAAAAUACAUUUUCAAAAAUUUUGCCGCCAUUUUGAAACCGGAAAUCACUCUUUUUUGUCAUUUAUGUGUUGUUUUUCCGUACUUUAGAAACUGUAAUUUACGCUUAAUAAAACCUUACAUUGGAUUAUACCUAUAACACAACUUUCAAAGAUUUACAACUGGAUAUGACGCCAUUUGCAAAAUGAUCGGUGGCCAUCUUGAAAAAAUGGAAAUUUUUGAUGGCCAGCACCUGAUUUCUUUUAAUUAUCGUUUAGUCCACCUGUAUACCAAAUUUCAUGCUUGUAUUUCAUGCUUGUGUUAUUACUUGUUAAGUUGAUGAAAAUUAUUAAAAUAUUUUUUACGUAUUUGCAUCUAAUUUGGAACCGGAAACCACUAUUUUUCUUCAGUUAUGUGUUGUUUUGUCGUACUAAGGAGCUGUUUUUAACGUUUUAUCAUAUCUUACAUUGAAUUAUACAUAACACAUCUUUCAAGGAUUAAAAUCCCUUGUAAAAUUGCUUGAAAGUAAAAAAAAUCGAAAUUUUUGACUCGUUAGCCGACAUUUUGAAACCGGAAGUCACCUUAAGUUUCAUUAAUGUAUUGUCUAGUCGUUAUUUAUGAACUGUCAUUUUCUUUUUAUCAAAUC
RNAcentral lists this long non-coding RNA (1408 nucleotides) under Mytilus galloprovincialis (Mediterranean mussel). Lineage: Eukaryota; Metazoa; Mollusca; Bivalvia; Mytilida; Mytilidae. The record is from RNAcentral.